CAAAAAAUAAUCUAUUAAAAUAAAAAAUUUAAAAAUUUAUCAACUUUUAUAAAAGAAGAUAAUUUUACCCCUAUCACUAAUAUUUCAAUUCAAUAGUCAAAUUCUCUAAACUUAUAACCAUGAAUUAUGCAUUCCUUAUCCUAAAAUCUGAAAUUUUCUUCCAACUACUAUAAAUUUUGUAUAAUUCUUCUUCUUAAAGUGGUGAUUUUUUUUUUUUUUUCCUGUAGUGGCAGUGUCAAAAUGAAUUAUUCUUUGUGGUGGCUGAGUCAAGGAUCAAGGAAAGCAGCGUCAUCGUUGUCGAGCACAAGCAGUUGCAGUGACAGGCGACGCCAGUUAUGUUUUCCAGCAACGACGACGCUGUCGUCGGUGAAAAGAGGGGGUGGCGACGACAUGCGGUUCACUGAUUUUUUUGCUUCUUUACUGUUAAUCUCGAAUUCGCAACUAGUUGUCUUGAUUGUGAAUUCGAAUUUUAAAACUAAAAUUCACAACUCAAAUAUAUAUUGGUUGUGAUUCUUGCAAAACUAUCAAUGUGGUCAUUUCAACAAAGUAAAGAUAAGCUGAGAAAUUAUUUUUCUUUGA
Salvia miltiorrhiza (redroot sage) is the source of this 579-nucleotide long non-coding RNA. RefSeq lists it as uncharacterized. The record is from RefSeq and is a predicted model, not a curated record. The transcript has 2 exons. Lineage: Eukaryota; Viridiplantae; Streptophyta; Magnoliopsida; Lamiales; Lamiaceae.